Molecule: ribosomal RNA, 309 nt
Filed under: uncultured fungus
Lineage: Eukaryota; Fungi
Description: SSU rRNA
Rfam family: Eukaryotic small subunit ribosomal RNA
Source: RNAcentral
AAAGAUUAAGCCAUGCAUGUCUAGGUAUAAGCAAUCUAUACAGUGAAACUGCGAAUGGCUCAUUAAAUCAGUUAUCGUUUAUUUGAUAGUACCUUACUACAUGGAUAACCGUGGUAAUUCUAGAGCUAAUACAUGCUAAAAAUCCCGACCUCUGGAAGGGAUGUAUUUAUUAGAUAAAAAACCAAUGUCUUCGGACUCUUGGGUGAUUCAUGAUAACUUUACGAAUCGCAUGGCCUUGCGCCGGCGAUGGUUCAUUCAAAUUUCUGCCCUAUCAACUUUCGAUGGUAGGAUAGUGGCCUACCAUGGUUU